This 253-nucleotide ribosomal RNA is filed under the name uncultured bacterium. Its description in RNAcentral is "partial 16S ribosomal RNA". It matches the Rfam family "Bacterial small subunit ribosomal RNA", at positions 524 to 776 of the family's 1533-position model. The record is from RNAcentral.
UACGUAGGGUGCGAGCGUUAAUCGGAAUUACUGGGCGUAAAGCGUGCGCAGGCGGUUAUGUAAGGCAGAUGUGAAAUCCCAGGGCUCAACCUUGGAACUGCAUUUGUGACUGCAUCGCUGGAGUGCGGCAGAGGGGGAUGGAAUUCCGCGUGUAGCAGUGAAAUGCGUAGAUAUGCGGAGGAACACCGAUGGCGAAGGCAAUCCCCUGGGCCUGCACUGACGCUCAUGCACGAAAGCGUGGGGAGCAAACAGG